ACUCCUACGGGAGGCAGCAGUGGGGAAUAUUGGACAAUGGGCGAAAGCCUGAUCCAGCCAUGCCGCGUGUGUGAAGAAGGUCUUCGGAUUGUAAAGCACUUUAAGUUGGGAGGAAGGGCAGUAAGUUAAUACCUUGCUGUUUGACGUACCAAC
This 153-nucleotide ribosomal RNA is filed under the name uncultured Pseudomonas sp. Its description in RNAcentral is "partial 16S small subunit ribosomal RNA". It matches the Rfam family "Bacterial small subunit ribosomal RNA", at positions 335 to 482 of the family's 1533-position model. The record is from RNAcentral. Lineage: Bacteria; Pseudomonadati; Pseudomonadota; Gammaproteobacteria; Pseudomonadales; Pseudomonadaceae.